Chiloscyllium plagiosum (whitespotted bambooshark) is the source of this 472-nucleotide non-coding RNA. Lineage: Eukaryota; Metazoa; Chordata; Chondrichthyes; Orectolobiformes; Hemiscylliidae. The record is from RefSeq and is a predicted model, not a curated record.
GGUUGAAGAUUGGAACUAAUCAGAGGACUCUCUCAACUUGAUGACAGUAAAUGAAAUGGUCUCUUCCUGUGCUACAAGAAGCAAUGAACUCGAGAAGAAAGCUUAUCACACUGCAAGUGGUUAAGAUUGGGAAUCUGCUGUUUGAGAGCACGUUGAAGAUUUCUCCCCAUUCCAGAAAGAUAGGGCAACCUAGGCUGUGAAGGGAUACGGAGCAGAAGCGGGUAAAUGGAAUAGAGAGAACAAUGAACUGAAACUGGAAAACAAUGAUUUUCAUUUGAAAGAAAAAUAUGGAAGAAAAGGAGGAAAAUGCUUGGAUGCAGAGCUGCAACAGUUUGGAAUACAUGGAUACAAAAAUGUGAAAACACAUCUCAACAAAUUCAAGAACAGCUUCUUCCCCACUGUUGUCAGACUUACGAACAGACCUCACAUAUACUAGAGUUGAUCUUUCUCUGCACCUUCUCUGAAUUCUGUU